Molecule: transfer RNA, 69 nt
Filed under: Utterbackia peninsularis (peninsular floater)
Lineage: Eukaryota; Metazoa; Mollusca; Bivalvia; Unionida; Unionidae
Description: tRNA-Val
Source: RNAcentral
UUGCCCAUAAGGUAGUAUAAAAAAUACUUUUUGCUUACACCAAAACUCUGGCUACAAACCUCUUAUGAU